RNAcentral lists this ribosomal RNA (589 nucleotides) under uncultured bacterium. RNAcentral describes it as "partial 16S ribosomal RNA". It matches the Rfam family "Bacterial small subunit ribosomal RNA", at positions 355 to 937 of the family's 1533-position model. The record is from RNAcentral.
UGGGGAAUUUUGGACAAUGGGCGAAAGCCUGAUCCAGCAAUGCCGCGUGUGUGAAGAAGGCCUUCGGGUUGUAAAGCACUUUUGUCCGGAAAGAAAUCCUUGGCUCUAAUACAGUCGGGGGAUGACGGUACCGGAAGAAUAAGCACCGGCUAACUACGUGCCAGCAGCCGCGGUAAUACGUAGGGUGCAAGCGUUAAUCGGAAUUACUGGGCGUAAAGCGUGCGCAGGCGGUUUGCUAAGACCGAUGUGAAAUCCCCCGGGACUCAAGCCUGGGAACUGCAUUGGUGACUGGCAGGCUAGAGUAUGGCAGAGGGGGGUAGAAUUCCACGUGUAGCAGUGAAAUGCGUAGAGAUGUGGAGGAAUACCGAUGGCGAAGGCAGCCCCCUGGGCCAAUACUGACGCUCAUGCACGAAAGCGUGGGGAGCAAACAGGAUUAGAUACCCUGGUAGUCCACGCCCUAAAACGAUGUCAACUAGUUGUUGGGGAUUCAUUUCCUUAGUAACGUAGCUAACGCGUGAAGUUGACCGCCUGGGGGAGUACGGUCGCAAGAUUAAAACUCAAAGGAAUUGACGGGGUCAUAGCUGUUUCC